Molecule: ribosomal RNA, 524 nt
Filed under: uncultured bacterium
Lineage: Bacteria
Description: bacterial SSU rRNA
Rfam family: Bacterial small subunit ribosomal RNA
Source: RNAcentral
AGAGUUUGAUCAUGGCUCAGAUUGAACGCUGGCGGAAUGCUUUACACAUGCAAGUCGAGCGGCAGCGCGGGGCAACCUGGCGGCGAGCGGCGAACGGGUGAGUAAUGCAUCGGAACAUGUCCAUUCGUGGGGGAUAGCCCGGCGAAAGCCGGAUUAAUACCGCAUACGCCCUGAGGGGGAAAGCGGGGGACUCGCAAGAGCCUCGCGCGAAUGGGUUGGCCGAUGUCCGAUUAGCUAGUUGGUGGGGUAAAGGCUUACCAAGGCGAUGAUCGGUAGCUGGUCUGAGAGGAUGAUCAGCCACAUUGGGACUGAGACACGGUCCAGACUCCUACGGGAGGCAGCAGUCGGGAAUUUUGGGCAAUGGGCGAAAGCCUGACCCAGCAACGCCGCGUGAGGGAUGAAGGCCUUCGGGUCGUAAACCUCUGUCGGGAGGGACGAAAGGUAGACGGGUGAAUAACCCGGGUGCUUGACGGUACCUCCAAAGGAAGCGCCGGCUAACUCCGUGCCAGCAGCCGCGGUAAUUC